UACGAAGGGGGCUAGCGUUGUUCGGAUUUACUGGGCGUAAAGCGCACGUAGGCGGAUUGUUAAGUCGGGGGUGAAAUCCUGGAGCUCAACUUCAGAAUUGCCUUCGAUACUGGCUUUCUAGAGGCUGGAAGAGGUUAGUGGAAUUCCCAGUGUAGAGGUGAAAUUCGUAGAUAUCAGGAAGAACACCCGUGGCUAAGGCGGCUCUCUAGUACGGUACUGACGCUGAGACGCGAAAGCCAGGGGAGCAAACGGG
Molecule: ribosomal RNA, 253 nt
Filed under: uncultured bacterium
Lineage: Bacteria
Description: partial 16S ribosomal RNA
Rfam family: Bacterial small subunit ribosomal RNA
Source: RNAcentral